CAAUGAGCAGCACUGACCAUUCUCAACUAUCUUCAUAUCAGAGACAGCCUCUGGAUUCAAGUGGACCAACUGCUGCAGUUGCCCUCAGGUCCUGCUUGAGGGCUUCUCAGAUGCAUGUUUUUGGCCACUGUGAGAACAAGAUGCCUGAAGAGUAAUGCAGGUUACUUCAUGGAAAUAAUCCUGGAGAGAAAGAAUAAUAUGCAAGUGAGAAGCCUUACUUCUGGGGACUCAGCAUCCCUCCACCACAGCGGAUGCCAGAAAAGAUCUUCAAGGUGAACAGCAUAGUAUUGCAGGAUCUACUGACACACCCAAUUGCCCCAGAAAAAUGACACCUGAACUCACUUUAACCUCUGAUUAGGGUCCCACUGCAAACACCUGCAAUGACUCUCAGGGAGCCAUUUUACAAAAGGAGCUGAUUUGUCUCUCUGGACAAACCAGGAGCUGCAAACAAGUAUUGUUAUUGGCUUACAGUUUUGAUUUCUCUGGAGGAGACAAGCUAUGAACCUGAGUUCAGACAACAGACUAAGCCAAACCAUGUCUUCAUGCACAGCAGGAGAAAUAGUGGAGCAAAGCAGUUGCAAUCUGCUCUCUAGGAGCCUAUGAAUUGUGCUAAGCCAUAGUUUGGCUUCCUGUUACAUGUGAACGGAUCCAUGUGAAUAUGUGUAGAAACUACCCACUGUACAAACGUAAAAUUUAUAUUCAUUGCCCUACCCACGCUUGCCUCAGGCCCCACCCACCACUGGCACAUGGUCCCUGAAUAGUUACCCAGAUGUAUCCCUCAGACUGAGACAGGUUCCUGAUCCUUGUGCAAGAUGAUAAAAGGCAAAGGAUCAAGGCAGCCUUGUCCAUAUCCUUGGGCCUCAAUAAAUGAAUUUUUUAUU
Long non-coding RNA from Podarcis raffonei (Aeolian wall lizard), 881 nucleotides. RefSeq lists it as uncharacterized. Lineage: Eukaryota; Metazoa; Chordata; Lepidosauria; Squamata; Lacertidae. The record is from RefSeq and is a predicted model, not a curated record. The transcript has 2 exons.